Long non-coding RNA from Polypterus senegalus (gray bichir), 690 nucleotides. RefSeq lists it as uncharacterized. The record is from RefSeq and is a predicted model, not a curated record. Lineage: Eukaryota; Metazoa; Chordata; Cladistia; Polypteriformes; Polypteridae. The transcript has 3 exons.
GGAAGAGGUGAAUUUGGCCAGCAUAUUAAGAACCUUCCAGAUGGAAAACCUCAAUGAGGACAGCAAAUUCACAGUAAUUGGCACGACGGAAGAAAAUACUGCCUAGUGCCUGUGCAGCCUGGCAAAAAGUUACUUUGCAUGGCAUAAAACACCAGUCAGUGAAUAUGUUGGUGAAACAGCUGAUGAUUAUGGCGGACCUCAAAGAGAGUUCUUCAGUUCUUCGAACUUCCCCUUCUUUAUGAUAGAUUGUUAUUGAUAGAUGUCCAGACAUUGCUUUGAGUUUUUGAAGGUUUGGGAGGACAUCUUUUUUUCACGUAUGACCAGGCAGCUUUGGACAGCAGCAAAUUCUAUACAGCUGGCAAGCUUAUAGCCUGGUCUAUAAUCCAUGGUGGGCCAGGAAUUAAAGCCUUGGAUCCUCAUUUGUUCCAGCUGAUGUGUGGCCAGACAGUAAAACUGGAAAAGUUUAACAGCCAUCAUUUUCCAAAUGUUGAUAUUCAUGAAAUGAUUAGUCAGAUUUCACAGUGCACACCUCCUGCAGAUGUUUUUACUCUACGAGCACAACCAGGAGACUGGAUUGCAGACUGUGGAGUCCCGGGAAUUUUUACUGCUGGACUUGCAGAUAGAGUGGAACCUCAGUUUACGAGUGUUUUGCGAGCUAAAUUUUUUAAUAAAUUUUGACUUGAUAAACGA